Non-coding RNA from Manis javanica (Malayan pangolin), 550 nucleotides. Lineage: Eukaryota; Metazoa; Chordata; Mammalia; Pholidota; Manidae. The record is from RefSeq and is a predicted model, not a curated record.
GCUAAGGGUUUUGUUUUAAGCAAAUUUAUUUGGGAAAAAAAUCUCUAUGGCAUAUAAUAAAGGUUUUUUUUCCUGCCAACUCUUAGAAAGUACUGGAAAUUUAUAUUACAUGUAUGACUAAAUAUAUGCAUGCAUAUAUAUCUGAGCAUGCAUAUAAUGCAAAUUCAGUGCCAGUUUAAAAAAAUAUUCUUUCAGUUCCUUUUAUUAGAGGAAGACUGCACUUUGCAAAAUAAGACAAUUGGCACAGUUCAGAGAAAGGUUAGUGAAAUAUUAGUAAUGGAAGCCAGUGUAGUCAUUUGAAAGAAGCUGAACUGUCAUAAAGUCUUACACAUGGAACGAUGUUUGGCCAUCUUCUAAAGAGUUUGGACCUGCUGAAGAACUGACUUGACUAUCUUGAUGAGGGAGUUGAAGAAAUCCUUCACUGGAGUCUGAGCAGGAUUUUGGAAGUGUUACCUUCUGCAGAAUCUAUACUACUCCGAAGUUCUUCUACAGUUUUUGUCAAACUCUGGUUUUCCAUUUCUAAUUUCAAUAAACUACUUGAUGUCAAUUC